GACGAACGCUGGCGGCGCGCCUAACACAUGCAAGUCGAACGAGCGAGAGAGAGCUUGCUUUCUCGAGCGAGUGGCGAACGGGUGAGUAACGCGUGAGGAACCUGCCUCAAAGAGGGGGACAACAGUUGGAAACGACUGCUAAUACCGCAUAAGCCCACAGGUCGGCAUCGACCAGAGGGAAAAGGAGCAAUUCGCUUCAGGAUGGCCUCGCGUCCAAUUAGGUAGAUGGUGAGGUAACGGCCCACCAUGCCGACGAUUGGUAGCCGGACUGAGAGGUUGAACGGCCACAUUGGGACUGAGACACGGCCCAG
This 311-nucleotide ribosomal RNA is filed under the name uncultured bacterium. RNAcentral describes it as "bacterial SSU rRNA". It matches the Rfam family "Bacterial small subunit ribosomal RNA", at positions 28 to 334 of the family's 1533-position model. The record is from RNAcentral.